AUUCCAGCUCCAAUAGCGUAUAUUAAAGUUGUUGCAGUUAAAAAGCUCGUAGUUGGAUUUCUGGUAGGAGCGACCGUGCCGAACUUGAUUGUUCGUGUAUUGUGUUGUCUUCAGCCAUCCUCGUGGAGAACUUUUCUAACAUUAACUUGUUGGGAUUGGGACCCGCGUCGUUUACUGUGAAAAAAUUAGAGUGUUUAAAGCAGGCAUUAGCUUGAAUACAUUAGCAUGGAAUAAUAAGAUAGGACUUUGGUACUAUUUUGUUGGUUGGAGAUCAAGGUAAUGAUUAAUAGGGAUAGUUGGGGGUAUUCAUAUUUAAUUGUCAGAGGUGAAAUUCUUGGAUUUAUGAAAGAUGAACUCAUGCGAAAGCAUUUACCAAGGAUGUUUUCAUUG
This 390-nucleotide ribosomal RNA is filed under the name Labyrinthuloides sp. Its description in RNAcentral is "partial small subunit ribosomal RNA". It matches the Rfam family "Eukaryotic small subunit ribosomal RNA", at positions 582 to 975 of the family's 1831-position model. Lineage: Eukaryota; Bigyra; Thraustochytrida; Thraustochytriidae. The record is from RNAcentral.